Molecule: ribosomal RNA, 408 nt
Filed under: uncultured bacterium
Lineage: Bacteria
Description: partial 16S ribosomal RNA
Rfam family: Bacterial small subunit ribosomal RNA
Source: RNAcentral
GACGAACGCUGGCGGCGUGCUUAACACAUGCAAGUCGAACGAAGUGGCGAACGGGUGAGUAACGCGUAAUCAACCUGCCCUUCAGAGGGGGACAACAGUUGGAAACGACUGCUAAUACCGCAUACUGAAGGAGGGGAUUGCGUCUGAUUAGCUGGUGGGAGGGGUAACGGCCCACCAAGGCGAUGAUCAGUAGCCGGUUUGGAGGGAGGACCGGCACAAUUGGUACUGGAGCACGGCCCAGACGCCUACGGGAGGCAGGAGGGGGGAAUCUUCCGAAAUGGACGAAAGUAUGACGGAGCAACGCCGGGUGAGUGAUGACGGCCUUCGGGUUGUAAAGCUCUGUUAAUCGGGACGCGGUACCGGAAUAGAAAGCAACGGCUAACUACGUGCCAGCAGCCGCGGUAAUAC